Molecule: ribosomal RNA, 508 nt
Filed under: uncultured Nitrososphaerota archaeon
Lineage: Archaea; Thermoproteati; Nitrososphaerota
Description: bacterial SSU rRNA
Rfam family: Archaeal small subunit ribosomal RNA
Source: RNAcentral
UCUGCAUAGGCGAAAGCCUGACAGGGUUACUCUGAGUGAUUUCCGUUAAGGGGAUCUUUUGGCACCUCUAAAAAUGGUGCAGAAUAAGGGGUGGGCAAGCCUGGUGUCAGCCGCCGCGGUAAUACCAGCACCCCGAGUGGUCGGGACGAUUAUUGGGCCUAAAGCAUCCGUAGCCGGUCCUGCAAGUCUUCCGUUAAAUCCAGCCGCUCAACGGAUGGGCUGCGGAGGAUACUAUAUGGCUAGGAGGCGGGAGAGGCAAGCGGUACUCAGUGGGUAGGGGUAAAAUCCUUUGAUCCAUUGAAGACCACCAGUGGCGAAGGCGGCUUGCCAGAACGCGCUCGACGGUGAGGGAUGAAAGCUGGGGGAGCAAACCGGAUUAGAUACCCGGGUAGUCCCAGCUGUAAACGAUGCAGACUCGGUGAUGGGUUGGCCUCUUGCUAUCUCAGUGCCGCAGGGAAGCCGUUAAGUCUGCCGCCUGGGGAGUACGGUCGCAAGACUGAAACUUAAA